UACGGAGGGUGCGAGCGUUAAUCGGAAUUACUGGGCGUAAAGAGCGCGCAGGUGGUUGAUUAAGUCUGAUGUGAAAGCCCACGGCUUAACCGUGGAGGGUCAUUGGAAACUGGUCGACUUGAGUGCAGAAGAGGGAAGUGGAAUUCCAUGUGUAGCGGUGAAAUGCGUAGAGAUAUGGAGGAACACCAGUGGCGAAGGCGGCUUCCUGGUCUGUAACUGACACUGAGGCGCGAAAGCGUGGGGAGCAAACAGGAUUAGAUA
This 261-nucleotide ribosomal RNA is filed under the name uncultured prokaryote. Its description in RNAcentral is "partial 16S ribosomal RNA". It matches the Rfam family "Bacterial small subunit ribosomal RNA", at positions 524 to 784 of the family's 1533-position model. The record is from RNAcentral.